This 495-nucleotide ribosomal RNA is filed under the name uncultured bacterium. RNAcentral's name for it is "bacterial SSU rRNA". It matches the Rfam family "Bacterial small subunit ribosomal RNA", at positions 903 to 1397 of the family's 1533-position model. The record is from RNAcentral.
AAAUGAAUUGACGGGGGCCCGCACAAGCAGUGGAGUAUGUGGUUUAAUUCGAAGCAACGCGAAGAACCUUACCAGGGCUUGACAUCCUACUAACGAAGCAGAGAUGCAUAAGGUGCCCUUCGGGGAGAGUAGAGACAGGUGGUGCAUGGUUGUCGUCAGCUCGUGUCGUGAGAUGUUGGGUUAAGUCCCGCAACGAGCGCAACCCUUACUGUUAGUUGCUACAUUUAGUUGAGCACUCUAACGGGACUGCCGUUGACAAAACGGAGGAAGGUGGGGACGACGUCAAAUCAUCAUGCCCCUUAUGUCCUGGGCUACACACGUACUACAAUGGCGCUUAACAGAGGGAAGCAAGAGAGCGAUCUGGAGCAAAUCCCUAAAAAGCGUCUCAGUUCAGAUUGCAGGCUGCAACUCGCCUGCAUGAAGGCGGAAUUGCUAGUAAUCGCGAAUCAGCAUGUCGCGGUGAAUACGUUCCCGGGCCUUGUACACACCGCCCGU